This is a long non-coding RNA of Dermochelys coriacea (leatherback sea turtle), 2131 nucleotides long. RefSeq lists it as uncharacterized. The record is from RefSeq and is a predicted model, not a curated record. The transcript is spliced from 2 exons. NCBI's taxonomy places the organism in Eukaryota, Metazoa, Chordata, Testudines, Dermochelyidae.
ACAGCUCUCAGCCUGCUCACGUCAAUUUCCUUCUCUGCUUUAGUUGUAGCCUCCAGGUGAUAGUGGAAGGCUUCAAAGACAGCCAUAGCCAGCCCAGAGCCUAGGAAAUGCAUCUCUGCCACUGCCUGCUCAGCCCCGCUCUGGGGAGCCUGCCCUGUCCUCUGGCCACGUCUGUGGGAGCUGAGGUGUGGCAGGGACAGCAGAAUGGUUGGGGAAAAAUCCCUGGCUGGGCGUCUCACCUGCAGUGAGGAGGAAGCCAGAGCAGAGGAUGCAGGAAAUUCGCCUCCAUUCCUGUCACUAUUUAUAUGCUGGGAGUGGCCAGGGCCCCUCUGCACUGAGCACUGCAGAAACAUAUCCAAAGACAUGGUUCCUGCCCCAGCGAGCUUAGCCCCAGCUCCCCUCCUCUCCAAAGCUGGGGCGGGAGUGAUCCCCCACAGCUCCCUCCAUCCUGGAUGGCAUGGAGAGUGCAGUUGCUUUUAACCUCCACCCACAACUCCAGCGCUGGGCUCCUGUGGCCAUGCUCCAACCGUCCCUCGCUGCACUCCGGCCAGCACCACUGCCCUCAGGGUCUUGCAGGCACAGCACAUGCAGGGCAGCUCCUGUGCACUUCUCGGGGCAGAGCUGAGAGCUGUGGAUGUAGCACCAGCACUGAGGCCUUGUCUACACUAUCCAGUUUUAUUGCCAAAACUGCUGUUUGUCAACCCAGACAGUGAGUGCGUACACACUGCGAGGCAACUUUUGUUGGGAAAAAUGCCCAGUUUUGGUGGCAAAAUACAUCCACCCUCAUAAGAGAUUUGUCUUUUUCCUCUACAUUUUUGUCAACAAAGUGCAAGUGUAGACACAACACUUGAUUUCAUCACUUUAAUUAGCCUCCAGGAGGUGUCCCACAGUGCCCAUCCUGACUGCUCUGGUCAGCAGUUUGAACUCCCCUGCCCUGCAGCCAGGGAAACAACUAUCUACCUCUCCCUCUUAGAAGCCACGAGAAUUUUUGAAAUUCCAUUUCCCCCUGGCUCGGCGUGGAGAGGUCUCAUCGCAUCUUCCCAGGUGACCAUGGUGGGUUAUUGCAGCAAACGUGCUCCCGCUUGGACCACUGCAGAGCUGUUGGAUCUACUCAGUGUAUGGGGAGAGGAGGCUGUGCAGUCCCAGCUGUAAUUGAGCCAUAGGAAUCGGGACACCUACGGACACAUUUCUCGAGGCUUGUGCGAAAAGGGCUGUGAUCAUGACACACUGCAGUGCAGAGCAAAGAUAAAGGAGCUGAGGCAGAUGUACCAUAAGGCGAGGGAGGCAAACAGUCGCUCAAGUAUUUCACCUAAGUCCUGCCAAUGCUGUAAGGAGCUGGAUGCUAUCCUCAGUGGCGACCCCAUCUCCAUCGCCAAGAGCCCCGUGGAUACUGCGGAGGGCACGGAGGCGGCAGAAUGAGGACAUAACCCGGAGGAUGAAGUUAUUGAUGAAGAGGUGGAGUUAGAUGACGAUGUGCAGCUCCCGGUGGGGCAGGCAGCCAGGAACUGUUCUCCACUCUAGAGGUGUCUAGCCAGUCUCAGCAGUUGCUCUUCAGUGAACAAGAAGAAGGAGAUGAGACACCCUGUGCUGUGCGUGAACUUAAUCCUGCUUCUGUGCAUUGUCCCCUGUGCUUCACCCGAUGUGGCUUGAGGAACACCCCAACACCCUAGCCAAGCGUCUCCGCCAGAUAAGAAAGCGCCCAAGAUGCAGCAAAGAAGACGUGUUCCGGGAGGCCCUGCAAAGCUCCAAUGCAGAAAAAAGGGAACGCAAGGAGUGCUGGGAAGCCGAAUGGCAGGACAGAAAAGAGAAUCACGCGUUUGUUAAGGACGCAACUGAGCGGAUGAUUAAAGUCAUGGAGGAGCAAACGCAGAUGCCGAAGUCCUUAACAGUGCUGCAGACUGAGUAGAUCUUUGCACGACCUCCCCUGCAGCACAUGCAGCACUCUUUUCCAUGCCCCGCCCAACUCCACUCACCCCGUCCUUUCCACCUUCCUGCAUGUCUCGGUUUCCCCUUCACUCCACCCCCUCGGACAACUUUCACAAUGAGAGCCGGACCUACACCCAGUUCUGAGAGUCUGCCCUUGCCUGGUUCCUCCUUUCCCAGAAAGCAUCUGUGUGCGCUGUUUCUUCUG